RNAcentral lists this long non-coding RNA (421 nucleotides) under Carica papaya (papaya). RNAcentral describes it as "long non-coding RNA (CPAP_LNC016156)". The record is from RNAcentral. Lineage: Eukaryota; Viridiplantae; Streptophyta; Magnoliopsida; Brassicales; Caricaceae.
AAAAUGAAAAAUACAAGAACUUAUAUAAUCAAGUUAAAUUUAGUAAAAAAAGAAAAGAAUCCAAUUUCGUAUGCUUUCUUUUCCAAUAAUAAUUAGUAGCAUCCCAAAUUACAAAAUAAAAAGACUAUACUGUUAACCAAAUCUACCUUUUCUUCUUCUUCUUCUUUACCGUUCUGGGCCACCACGAAAAAGAACAAGUUGUGUUUCUUCUCCUCUUGGGACCCCUUUUAUAUAGCCAAGAAAGAAUCAUCACCACCCCUUCAUUUACAGUUGCGCUCACCGAUCUCGCACGUUAAUCCCGCGUGCGUGAUCUCCUCCUCGUAUUUCCUUUCCAUCUGCCGCCAACCCUCUGUUUCUCUCCUCUUCCUUUUCAGUUCUGCAGAAACUCUAGGUGUCUUUUUUCUUCGUUUCACAAUGUUUU